GGGUUAGUAGACAUCUAUGGAGGGUGGCAUGACUGUAAAUCAUGUAUCAUUGCGUAUCAAGAAGGUUCGAUUCCUUCCUAGCCCA
This 85-nucleotide transfer RNA is filed under the name Caudoviricetes sp. RNAcentral describes it as "tRNA-Tyr". It matches the Rfam family "tRNA". Rfam says of the family: Transfer RNA (tRNA) molecules are approximately 80 nucleotides in length. Lineage: Duplodnaviria; Heunggongvirae; Uroviricota; Caudoviricetes. The record is from RNAcentral.